This 112-nucleotide small nucleolar RNA is filed under the name Echinops telfairi (small Madagascar hedgehog). Its description in RNAcentral is "Small nucleolar RNA SNORA33 (ENSETEG00000023057.1)". It matches the Rfam family "Small nucleolar RNA SNORA33", at positions 23 to 130 of the family's 130-position model. From Rfam's summary of the family: ACA33 is a member of the H/ACA class of snoRNA that guide the sites of modification of uridines to pseudouridines. Lineage: Eukaryota; Metazoa; Chordata; Mammalia; Afrosoricida; Tenrecidae. The record is from RNAcentral.
AAACUAUUAAGUCUCUGCAGAAAUUUAGAAAAAGCUGGCAAUAACAGUAAAGCCAUGUUAUGAGCCUUAAGGAUAAUUGAGAUCAUUAAGGAGGCUGAAAGUGGCUACAUAA